RNAcentral lists this ribosomal RNA (492 nucleotides) under uncultured bacterium. RNAcentral describes it as "partial 16S ribosomal RNA". It matches the Rfam family "Bacterial small subunit ribosomal RNA", at positions 30 to 507 of the family's 1533-position model. The record is from RNAcentral.
AGUGAACGCUGGCGGUAGGCCUAACACAUGCAAGUCGAACGGCAGCACAGUAAGAGCCUGCUCUUACGGGAGGCGAGUGGCGGAAGGGUGAGGAAUACAUCGGAAUCUCCUUUUUCGCGGGGGAUAACGUAGGGAAACUUACGCUAAUACAGCAUACGACCUACGGGUGAAAGCAGGGGAUCUUCGGACCUUGUGCGAUUGAAUGAGCCGAGGUCGGCUUAGCUAGUUGGCGGGGUAAAGGCCCACAAAGGCGACGAUCCGUAGCUGGUCUGAGGGGGUCGUCACACACAUGGGAAGUGAGACACGGCCGAGACACUUGCGGUGGGCAGCAGUGGGGAAUAUUGCACAAUGGGGGCGAGCCGGAUCCAGGCAUACCGCGGCGAUGAAGAUGUCGCUCGGGUGGGAGAGCCAUGAUGGUGUGAGAGAAGAGCAGCAGUUUAAGACCCCACGGUACUGACGGUACCCAAAGAAGAAGCACCGGCUAACUUCGUG